Molecule: unclassified non-coding RNA, 190 nt
Filed under: fungal sp.
Lineage: Eukaryota; Fungi
Description: partial internal transcribed spacer region
Rfam family: Eukaryotic small subunit ribosomal RNA (bases 1-46)
Source: RNAcentral
AAGUCGUAACAAGGUAACCGUAGGUGAACCUGCGGUUGGAUCAUUAAAAGUAGUAACAAUGUUACACCAACCCUAAAAGAAAUGUUGUUUUGGAUAAAGUAUCCCAUUGCAUCCAAAAAUCACAAGCAAUUCAAUUUAAUUUAAUUUUUUUUAUUUGAAAAAACUUUUGACAAUGGAUCUCUUGGUUCUC